AUUGAACGCUGGCGGCAUGCCUUACACAUGCAAGUCGAACGGCAGCGCGGGAGCAAUCCUGGCGGCGAGUGGCGAACGGGUGAGUAAUAUAUCGGAACGUGCCCAGUAGUGGGGGAUAGCCGGCGAAAGCCGGAUUAAUACCGCAUGAGACCUGAGGGUGAAAGCGGGGGAUCGCAAGACCUCGCGCUAUUGGAGCGGCCGAUAUCAGAUUAGCUAGUUGGUGGGGUAAAGGCCUACCAAGGCAACGAUCUGUAGUUGGUCUGAGAGGACGACCAGCCACACUGGGACUGAGACACGGCCCAGACUCCUACGGGAGGCAGCAGUGGGGAAUUUUGGACAAUGGGCGCAAGCCUGAUCCAGCAAUGCCGCGUGCAGGAAGAAGGC
RNAcentral lists this ribosomal RNA (384 nucleotides) under uncultured bacterium. Its description in RNAcentral is "bacterial SSU rRNA". It matches the Rfam family "Bacterial small subunit ribosomal RNA", at positions 29 to 415 of the family's 1533-position model. The record is from RNAcentral.